UUCUUGGAGAGUUUGAUCCUGGCUCAGGACGAACGCUGGCGGCGUGCCUAAUACAUGCAAGUCGAGCGAAAGUUUCAAAAGCUUGCUUUUGAAACUUUAGCGGCGGACGGGUGAGUAACACGUGGGCAACCUGCCUGUAAGACUGGGAUAACUCCGGGAAACCGGGGCUAAUACCGGAUAAUCCUUUUCCCUGCAU
This 196-nucleotide ribosomal RNA is filed under the name Neobacillus notoginsengisoli. RNAcentral describes it as "Bacillus notoginsengisoli partial 16S ribosomal RNA". It matches the Rfam family "Bacterial small subunit ribosomal RNA", at positions 1 to 191 of the family's 1533-position model. Lineage: Bacteria; Bacillati; Bacillota; Bacilli; Caryophanales; Bacillaceae. The record is from RNAcentral.